This 2817-nucleotide long non-coding RNA is filed under the name Marmota monax (woodchuck). The record is from RNAcentral. Lineage: Eukaryota; Metazoa; Chordata; Mammalia; Rodentia; Sciuridae.
UGAUCUUAGUGACUGCAUAAAAUAAAUGUCUAGGCCCUCCUUCAAAAGGCCUCAUUCCUGCUCUUUCAGUCUUUCCCCACAUUUGUUCUCCCAUGUACACAGCUGCACCUCUUCUAGAGAGAGACUGCAUUUAUUACCUCCAAAUGAACUCUAUGGAUCAUUCCUUAGUUUCUACAUUUGUUGGUAAGUUUCUCUCCCACCAUAAACAGUCCUUUACUCCACAAUUUGCACUUUUAAACCCAACUCCAAUUACCCAAUAGCUCUCUCUAAAGACCAUGAUCAUUAUUAUGAUUUUCCAGUGACCCAACAGCCUAUUGCAAUGGAUCGUGAUUAUUGUUAGGAUUUCUGUCUUCCAAAAUAUGAUGUUUGUGACUAGAGCCCCACAAAUGAGUUUAAAUCUACUUAUCCUAAAAUAAUUGUUGACUCUUGCUUUAUGUGAAUUAAUCAUAUUUUUGAAAAUGUAUGUGUGAGUCUCUUGAGACCAGGCAGGGAGAACACAACUACACAACUCAAAUGUCUUUGUACCCUUGACACUGCCCAACGUAGGGUUGAACAUACUGAAAGCUCACCAUGUGUGCUGGGUGAGCUGGAUGCUGUGGGGAAAGACAAAAAAAACAAAUUAGCUUCUCCAAAGAUUUUGAGCCUAAGGAUUUCCUGGCUUGGAUUACUGUCAUUAAGGCAAACCUCUCAAUAAAAUUCAGAAGUGCUGGGUUAUUAGAGGCAUAUUACACUAUCCACAGAGGCCAAGAAGGUAAUACAAAUGUCUAAAUAAAUAGGGCAUAGGAGUGAUAGGACCUGGGUCUGAAUGGAAGACACUUGUCCUCCCUUAAAGAUUCCAAAAUCAGUUAUGGACUCCAGGCAAACAAUACAUUCAACCAUGAUCAGCAAGCAGGUUGUGACACAUAGAUGGAAGUGACCAUUAACCCAUCCAUCUCUGCAGGCUUUCAUCUCCCUGAGCAGGGAGGAUGCUAUAACCUGGGCAAAAACAGCUCUAGAACACCCAGCCAUGGACAGAGUUCCAGAAGCAAGCCACAUUAAUGUGUCUGCAUGGAAGGCGAUGUUUACAAUCCCCCCACCCUACACACACAAACACACACACACACACACACACACACACACACACCCAAGGGCCUCCCUUCCUUCCUCCCACAAUGUCAUUUAAAGAUACAGCCAACCCUGCCUUUCAUCAGCCAUGGUCUCCUCUCCUUGCAUUUCUGAUUUCUUGUCACCCAUUGCCAGAAAUAUCAAAGCUCUCCAUUUGCAAGCCAUAACCACUCGCUCACCUCCCUAAACUCCUGUGCACUUCUCAGUUAUAUUUCCAGGCAAGUGGGGAGUUGGUGAAGUUCCUCCAUCCCAGCCACUCUUCCUCCACUCUUCCUUCCCUCCCCUGUGUCACAAAAGCACUCAGUUUUCUGAGGACAGGUGACCAAACAUGUGUUGUGAAAGGAGUGAGCCGAGCCAGCAGCCUGGUGUGGGAAAUGGAGAAUGAAGAGAAAGUGGGAAAUAGACAUGUGCGUGUGGCACCUCUAGACGCAGGCUCUGCAACCUUCACAGAGGAGCAGACACCUUCUCCUACAGACUGAACCACCACAUGAGCCUCCCUUGUGAAACAGGAGGGCUUUGUGAUGCAGUCUGCAGCUUGUUCUGUCCUCUGUGAGGUGGACAUGACAAGGGUGAAGAACUGGGAGUCAUUUGGCACUAAGCCCCUGAAUGCCUAGUUGUGGAGAUGGUUGGUCUCCUUAUGCUAAUGAAGUUUAGGCCAUGUUGAGCCUUAUAUCUGUUCUGUGGGACACUGGAUAUCCCUUAUAUACCUAUGGUUCUCUUUUCAUCCUUAUCCUAAUUAUCUGGCAAAUUAGACAGAGUUACUAUGGAUUGAAGCGCAAACCUACAAGGAGCUGCUGCCGGGUAGGGAAACACUGUCACCACAAUUGAGCUAGUUUAAGCCUCAGAUAAGCUUUCAAGUUUUCAGUGUUUCUCCGUAUUAAAUCUCCCCCCACCCCAUUUUUAUACCAUACUUUCAGUUACCUUUGUAUAUUGCUUUUGUUUGGAGAACCUAUUUAAUUCCUCACCAGCUCUCCCUCCAAUGCAAUGAAAAGCCUCAAGACCCUCCCUAUUUGGCUUGAGCUGAGAAAUAGGUGCUAUAAAGUCUACCCCACUAUAUCUCAAGACUUCCCAAUAUGGGGGAUUUUUCUGAUUGAUGAGUUUUGUAAAGCAGAAGUCCUUGGGUCAUUAGAAAUGCUCACCCUUUAAUCUAUUCCACUUUUCUUCUUGUGUCAUCCCAAACUCUCUGUAGAACUUGUCAUGAGGACAGGAGGAUGAAGAAUGCAGAAUCUUGAAGUGAAUCAGAAGGGUGAAGCAGAAAAGGGAAAUGUUGGGGUGGAAAAAGGUGGAAUAUGGUAAAGGAAAUGUAGGAGAGUGUAUAAAAUGCGAUAGCUAUGGAGAAAGAGAAUGGGAAAUAUGAGUUUUUGUCUCAUUUUGGACAUGAAAAAGAAAAUGGCAUCCUAGUCUCACAUUCUCAUGUUUUUUUGUCUUCAAGCAUCAUCGAAAAGUCAGGCAAAGGAAAAAAGAUGCAGCGUCAAGAGGUAAAGUCCCAAACUCUCAUUUGACUCCCACUGUGGGCUAGCUUCCUAUAUAGUAUCUGUCGCUCUACCCCUGGUACCAGGAUCCAGGUGUUCUAAUCUCUGAAGGCUCCAAUUUCCCCCAAAUUGAUGACUUUCACAGAGGACUUCCAUGGGUGGGAAAUCUGAACAUGGGAAUGUUCCAAAAUUCACUACCUUAUGACCCUGAGAAAAAUCAUUGAAGAAGUAAGGCAGAUGU